Molecule: ribosomal RNA, 492 nt
Filed under: uncultured bacterium
Lineage: Bacteria
Description: partial 16S ribosomal RNA
Rfam family: Bacterial small subunit ribosomal RNA
Source: RNAcentral
AGUGAACGCUGGCGGUAGGCCUGACACAUGCAAGUCGAACGGCAGCACAGUAAGAGCUUGCUCUUACGGGUGGCGAGUGGCGGACGGGUGAGGAAUACAUCGGAAUCUACUUUUUCGUGGGGGAUAACGUAGGGAAACUUACGCUAAUACCGCAUACGACCUACGGGUGAAAGCAGGGGAUCUUCGGACCUUGCGCGAUUGAAUGAGCCGAUGUCGGAUUAGCUAGUUGGCGGGGUAAAGGCCCACCAAGGCGACGAUCCGUAGCUGGUCUGAGAGGAUGAUCAGCCACACUGGAACUGAGACACGGUCCAGACUACUACGGGAGGCAGCAGUGGGGAAUAUUGGACAAUGGGCGCAAGCCUGAUCCAGCCAUACCGCGUGGGUGAAGAAGGCCUUCGGGUUGUAAAGCCCUUUUGUUGGGAAAGAAAGGCAGCAGGUUAAUACCCCGCUGUUCUGACGGUACCAAAAGAAUAAGCACCGGCUAACUUCGUG